UACGGAGGGUGCAAGCGUUGCUCGGAAUUAUUGGGCGUAAAGGGUAAGUAGGUGGUCUCGUUUGUCUGGGGUGAAAGCCUUGAGCUUAACUCAAGAAGUGCCCCAGAAACGGCGAGACUAGAGUCCUGGAGAGGGUCGUGGAAUUCCCGGUGUAGCGGUGAAAUGCGUAGAGAUCGGGAGGAACACCAGAGGCGAAAGCGGCGACCUGGACAGGUACUGACACUCAACUACGAAAGCGUGGGGAGCAAACAGG
This 253-nucleotide ribosomal RNA is filed under the name uncultured bacterium. RNAcentral describes it as "partial 16S ribosomal RNA". It matches the Rfam family "Bacterial small subunit ribosomal RNA", at positions 524 to 776 of the family's 1533-position model. The record is from RNAcentral.